GGCCUGGUGGUGCAAUGGUAGCACUUUUGUUUCCUAUGGUCAAGAAAAAUCCAUUCGGCGGGAGAUCCUUGUUCGAAUCAAGGUCAGGCUG
This is a non-coding RNA of Mycena latifolia, 91 nucleotides long. Lineage: Eukaryota; Fungi; Basidiomycota; Agaricomycetes; Agaricales; Mycenaceae. The record is from the annotation of a GenBank genome assembly.